RNAcentral lists this ribosomal RNA (238 nucleotides) under uncultured bacterium. RNAcentral's name for it is "partial 16S ribosomal RNA". It matches the Rfam family "Bacterial small subunit ribosomal RNA", at positions 96 to 334 of the family's 1533-position model. The record is from RNAcentral.
CGGCGGACGGGUGAGUAACGCGUGGGUAACCUGCCUCAUACAGGGGGAUAACAGUUGGAAACGGCUGCUAAUACCGCAUAAGCGCACAGUACCGCAUGGUACGGUGUGAAAAACUCCGGUGGUAUGGGAUGGACCCGCGUCUGAUUAGGUAGUUGGUGGGGUAACGGCCUACCAAGCCGACGAUCAGUAGCCGACCUGAGAGGGUGACCGGCCACAUUGGGACUGAGACACGGCCCAA